This 517-nucleotide ribosomal RNA is filed under the name uncultured bacterium. RNAcentral describes it as "bacterial SSU rRNA". It matches the Rfam family "Bacterial small subunit ribosomal RNA", at positions 15 to 540 of the family's 1533-position model. The record is from RNAcentral.
GAUCCUGGCUCAGAGCGAACGUUUGCGGCGGGCUUAACACAUGCAAGUCGAACGAGAAUCCCUUCGGGGAGGAAAGUGGCGCACGGGUGCGUAACACGUGGAUGACCUACCCCUUGGUUCGGGACAACAGCGGGAAACUGCUGCUAAUACCGGAUGUGUCGUAGCAAUACGAGAAAGGCCCGCAAGGGUCGCCAGAGGACGGGUCCGCGUCCCAUCAGCUAGUUGGUGAGGUAAUGGCUCACCAAGGCGAAGACGGGUAGCUGGUCUGAGAGGAUGAUCAGCCACACUGGAACUGAGACACGGUCCAGACUCCUACGGGAGGCAGCAGUGGGGAAUAUUGCGCAAUGGGCGAAAGCCUGACGCAGCCACGCCGCGUGAGCGAUGAAGGUCUUCGGAUCGUAAAGCUCUGUGGGGGGAGAAGAAGAAAGUCGGUGAAGAGCCGGCCCUGACGGUAUCCCCUUAGCAAGCACCGGCUAACUCCGUGCCAGCAGCCGCGGUAAUACGGAGGGUGCAAACG